GAUGAAGAACGUAGCAAAAUGCGAUACUUGGUGUGAAUUGCAGAAUCCCGUGAACCAUCGAGUUUUUGAACGCAAGUUGCGCCCGAAGCCUUUUGGCCGAGGGCACGUCUGCCUGGGCGUCACGCAUCGCGUCGCCCCCCACAAUUCUCCGUAAAGGGAACGUGUGUUUUGGGGGCGGAUAUUGGUCUCCCGUGCUCAUGGCGUGGUUGGCCGAAAUAGGAGUCCUUUCGAUGGACGCAUGAACUAGUGGUGGUCGUAAAAACCCUCGUCUUUUGUUUCGUGCUGUUGCUCGCAAGGUAAACUCUUUAAAAACCCCAAUGUGUCGUCUCUUGACGACGCUUCGACCGCGACCCCAGGUCAGGCGGGACUACCCGCUGAGUUUAAGCAUAUCAAUAAGCGGAGGA
This 404-nucleotide unclassified non-coding RNA is filed under the name soil metagenome. RNAcentral's name for it is "partial contains 5.8S ribosomal RNA, internal transcribed spacer 2, and large subunit ribosomal RNA". The stretch from base 1 to 122 matches the Rfam family "5.8S ribosomal RNA", at positions 35 to 154 of the family's 154-position model. The record is from RNAcentral.